Long non-coding RNA from Protopterus annectens (West African lungfish), 603 nucleotides. RefSeq lists it as uncharacterized. Lineage: Eukaryota; Metazoa; Chordata; Ceratodontiformes; Protopteridae. The record is from RefSeq and is a predicted model, not a curated record. The transcript is spliced from 2 exons.
CUUGUGGUCUGGAAUAUUUCCUCAAGUUCCUGAACCAAGAAACAUGCUCAUUGGAUCUGAAAGCUAUAAAAAGCCAAAAGAGAACUGGAUUUUCAGUGAAGAUAACACAUGUGUCAGCUCCGAAGAAAUAAUUGUGAUUGUUGAAGACAACAUGAAAUGAGUACGCACUAAUUUCACAGUGAAGAUUAAUAAUACUUAUGCCUGGAAACAACAGACCUAGGUGAAGAAGGACUGGGGAUUGAACAUGGCUCCAUCAAACCUUAGGAAAACUGUCAUCUAUGCUUUCUGGAUAAUGGAGUACAGUUGGGUAUCAACACACAACUGGAGUCCUGUUGUGUUUAAGGGAAAUAAAUGCUUUGGUAUAUGAAAAUAUUUCACACUGCUUUAUUCUGUAUAUGUAGCUUACACAUUUAGCAGGACAAUGAAUUCAGCAUAAUAGGGCUCAUGCUGCUGUUAAAAGCAUUUUACUGUAAUUAGAUUACUGUCUCAUUAUCAGCACUGCAUGCUAUUUAAUUACAACCAUGACAUUUUCAGUGUCCCUGAAAGUAUAGUUAUGUUUUCUCUUGAUUUUCUUUGUGAAUAAACUCUGUAUAAUUUUGUUUA